RNA transcript from Nyctereutes procyonoides (raccoon dog), 3126 nucleotides. It is a transcript of the gene named fatty-acid amide hydrolase 1-like, with no coding region annotated. The record is from RefSeq and is a predicted model, not a curated record. The transcript is spliced from 22 exons. NCBI's taxonomy places the organism in Eukaryota, Metazoa, Chordata, Mammalia, Carnivora, Canidae.
CUGUCGUGGGAGGGUGCUCCAACAUAUAGCUGGCAAGCAAGCAGGUGAUACUCCUGAGGGAGCAGUUGCUGUGUCCAAACAGGUUCCAUGAUGUCUGGGGUGGCUUGGCUGCUGGUGCUGCUCCUGCUGGCCCUGCUGGUGGCUGCCCUGCGCUCCUGGCAGCGUGCUCCAGCGCGGAGCAAGAUCCCCAGGGCACAGAAGCGCCGGGUGGAGGCACUGCAGCGGAUGGAAGCCCUGGCACGGCGUCUCCGGGAGCAGGAGCCGUCCCUGGACCCCAGGCCCAUCCUGGAGCUGCCCCUGGACAGGCUGGUCCAGAAGCUGCGGGAUGAAGAACUCAGUCUGGAGAGCGUCCUCUGUAGCUACUUAGAGGAGGCACUGACGGUGCACCAGGAGGUAAACUGCCUGACGGAUUUCCUGGACGAGUGUGAGGAACAACUGCAGGCAUUAAAGAAACUCAAGAAGACUGAGAGAGGCCUUCUCUAUGGGGUCCCCAUCAGCCUCAAGGACCCCUUCAACUGCAAGGGCCAUGACUCUACAUGUGGCCUGGCCCAGUUCCUGGAGAAGCCAGCGGCCAAGGACGGGGUCAUUGUGAAAGUGCUGAAGGCCCAGGGAGCUAUUCCCUUCGUUAAGACCAACAUCCCCCAGACACUGUUCAGCGCUGAGUGCAGCAACCCCAUCUACGGACAGACUCUGAACCCUCUGCGCUUAAAGAAGUCACCGGGGGGCUCCUCGGGGGGCGAGGGAGCCCUGCUUGCACAAGGGGGUUCCAUCCUGGGCAUGGGUACUGACACCGGAGGCAGCAUCCGCAUACCAGCCAGCUUUUGUGGUGUCUGUGGCCUCCGGACAACAGGAUACCGUCUCAGCUACUCUGGAGUUGCCUCUGCUAUCAAAGGCCAGAAAUCAGUGACCACGGUGGCUGGCCCCAUGGCCCGGGAUGUGGAGAGCCUGGUGCUGUGUCUGCGAGCCCUGCUAAGUGAAGACAUGCACCGACUGGACCCCACUGUGCCUUUCAUGCCCUUCAGGGAGGAGAUAUACUCCAGUAACCAGCCCCUUCGAAUAGGCUACUGUGAAUCAGAUGGCUUCACCCAACCAUCUCCGAGCAUGGCCAGGGCCAUGAGGCUCACCUCCAGGCUGCUCCAGGACGCAGGACAUCAGGUCAUCCCCUUCUCCAUCCCCCGCAUAGAAUAUGCUGUCAAACACCUGUUCGUGGGGGGUCUGUUUGCCGAUGGAGGAGCCACCCUUCUGGAGAAGCUGUACAUUUGUCAGGACUCAGAUAAAGGUGAGGGGGACAUUGUGGACCCUUGCAUGAAGACAAUGAUCAACCAGCUCCGCUUGCCAGACCUACUCAAGUGUUUCUUGGCCUGGAUCCUGAAGUACAUAGAACCCCGAGCUAGCCAGAAUUUAGAAGAGAUGCGUGGGGUGAGGACUCCCAAGAAGCUGUGGGAGCAGCACAGUGCAGUGGAGGAAUAUCGGCAAGAGUUCAUAGCCAGGUGGAGGUCCUUAGACCUGGAUGUGCUGCUGACACCAGCUGUGGACCCUGCCUUCGAUGUAGGCUAUUCUGGCAAGGCAUUAGAUAGCUUCUCCUACUUGCACCUGUACAACGUCCUGAACUUCCCUAUUGGCGUGGUGCGGGUCACCAGUGUGACGCCGCAGGACGAGGAGGACCUGACCUUCUACAAGGGAUACUAUGGAGACAGUUCUGACACGUAUUUCCGGGAGGCCUUACAAGGGUCCGUGGGACUCCCCGUGGCGGUGCAGUGCAUUGCUUUGCCAUGGGAAGAGGAGCUGUGUCUCCGGUUCAUGAAGGAGGUGGAGACCUUGGUCAAGAACCACAGGGAAGCAGAGUUAUAGGCCACUCCUUCUCCUGGAGGCCUUCCUACAGCCUCCUCAAAGUUGGCUUCUGAUGCCCCUUCUCAAGAAUACUGUAUGCGCCUGUCUCCUCCUCCUUGAAGCCCACCGGAUUCCUUUUCUUUGUUGUCCUUCUGCGUGGGCGGGGCUGUAGCCUCCUGGUGGCCUUCUGCGUCCAGUUCAGUCCCCCAGAUGACACCUCAGAUUGCAGCAGAGGGGAGAGAGCUCCAAACAGAGGGGCUGACAGUGGCCGCUGCUGCCUUGGAGCUGCCUCCAGGAUGAGGAUAUGGGCCUUGGAACAGACUGGAUGGCCCCUUUGAAAUGUGGCUUCCUCCUGGUUCUCAGAAUAGGAGUCAGCCAGAGCUGCUGAGAGCUCCUGGGAGUUAAGAAGACCCACAUUCUCCAACAGAGAAGAAUCUCAAGACUUAGACCAAAGUCUACCCUGAGUCCUGGCAUCGCUUCUCUGGCCCAAGGAGAAUGGGCACAGGCCCCUGUGUGUGCCAGCUCCGUGCUAGUGGCGAACCAGACACCCGGGGUUCCUCCCGCGUGGCUCCCAGCCAAGGGGACACGUGGACCGGGAGUGUCUGUUUCCUCUGGUGGCUGGACCUUGCAUGUUUGUUCUGUUCUUCAAAGACAGAGUGUCUCAGGGCCCAGGGUUUGGAAGGAGCCUCAAGAAGCAUCCCAUCCAGCCUUCCUUCUGCAGAAUCUUCUUGAACUCUCCCAGGCAUGCCACCAUUUAAGAAGAAAGAAGUCCAGGCUACCUUGCUGAAGAGCCUGCAUGGAGGAGAACUGAGGCACCGCAGCUGACAGCCAGCACCAAAUGCCAGCCAUGCCAAGAAGCACUCUUGGAAGAGAUCCUCCAGCCCCAGUCAAGACUUCAGAGGGUGUAGCCCAACCAAUACAACUGCCAUCCACAAGAGAUCCCCAGGCCAGAACCAGCUAAACUGCUCCUGGAUUCCUGCCCCUCAGAAACUGUGAUAUAAUAUAGGUGUCCUUCGCUUUAUUGAGCUUUGCUUUAUUUUAGUUUGUCGAUGCUCUGUUCUUUUUAUGAAUUGAAGGAUUGUGGCAACCCUGCAUCAAGCAAGUCUAUCAAUGCCAUUUUUUUCAACAGCAUUUGCUCACUUCAUGUCUGUGGCACAUUUUGGUAAUUCUUACAAGAUUCCAAAUCUUUUUGUUAUUAUUAUAUUUCUUAGCGUGUUCUGUGAUCAGUGAGUGUGACCUGCUGAAAGCUCAGAUGAUCAUUGGCAUUUUUUAGCAAUAAAGUAUUUUUAAUAAGGA